CUCCUCCUCCUCCUUCCUCCUCCUUCUCCUUCCUCAUCUUCUCAUCUGUUUCUUGUUCUAAUAAUUUGAUCAAUAGCAACAGUUUCGCAUCAAGUUGUUCAGAAAUUGGAAGCUUCAAAUGCUAGAAAUGUGUUUCCGCUUUGUCUUGAAGCGUUUCCAGGAAGAUAGGUGUUUGGAGUGGAUGGAAGGCAGAACUGCAAACUAUCACAAGGUUGGUAAAUAUUAGCAACUGUAAUACUUCUAACGUGUACCAUUAUGGCGUCUGCCAGCCUAGGAAAUGGGGGAGUUGGAAGUUCUAGGUCUGUUAAUGGCUUCAAGAGUUCAUCAAGCUCAGUUGACUGGCUGGGGAGAGAGAUGUUUGAGAUGAGAUUGAGGGACAAGGCGGACCAUGAUGAAGACAGAGAUAGUGAACCAGAUAUAAUUGAUGGUGUGGGUACAGAAGCAGGACAUGUCAUAAGAACCACUAUAGGUGGUCGAAAUGGUCAAUCUAGACAGACAAUAAGUUAUAUAGCGGAGCAUGUGGUUGGAACUGGUUCUUUUGGUGUUGUCUUCCAAGCUAAAUGUCGGGA
RNAcentral lists this unclassified non-coding RNA (569 nucleotides) under Hevea brasiliensis (rubber tree). Lineage: Eukaryota; Viridiplantae; Streptophyta; Magnoliopsida; Malpighiales; Euphorbiaceae. The record is from RNAcentral.